Molecule: ribosomal RNA, 271 nt
Filed under: uncultured bacterium
Lineage: Bacteria
Description: partial 16S ribosomal RNA
Rfam family: Bacterial small subunit ribosomal RNA
Source: RNAcentral
UUGUAAAGUUAGUGGCGGACGGGUGAGUAACGCGUGAAUAACCUGCCCUGUACCGGGGGACAACAGUUGGAAACGGCUGCCAAUACCGCAUAAGCGCACGGUUCCGCAUGGAACAGUGUGAAAAACUCCGGUGGUACAGGAUGGAUUCGCGUCUGAUUAGCCAGUUGGUGGGGUAACGGCCUACCAAAGCGACGAUCAGUAGCCGACCUGAGAGGGUGACCGGCCACAUUGGGACUGAGACACGGCCCAAACUCCUACGGGAGGCAGCAUG